This 646-nucleotide ribosomal RNA is filed under the name Symbiodinium sp. type A. RNAcentral's name for it is "partial 24S large subunit ribosomal RNA". It matches the Rfam family "Eukaryotic large subunit ribosomal RNA", at positions 34 to 673 of the family's 3401-position model. Lineage: Eukaryota; Dinophyceae; Suessiales; Symbiodiniaceae. The record is from RNAcentral.
UUAAGCAUAUAAGUAAGCGGMGGAAAAGGAACUAAACAGGAUUCCCUUAGUAAUGGCGAACGAACAGGGAUCAGCUUGGGUUGGAAACCAAGGCAUCUGCCUUGGAUUGUGGCCUUUAGACAUUGUACCAACGGCGGCGCGAGCGUAAGCCUCUUGGAAUAGAGCGUCUACCUGGGUGAGAAUCCUGUGUUUCGCUUGAUGUCCGCCGUGCACGGUACUUGCUCACAGAGUCACGCUCCUCGGAAUUGGAGCGUAAAUUGGGUGGUAAAUUUCAUCUAAAGCUAAAUACAGGCUCGAGACCGAUAGCAAACAAGUACCAUGAGGGAAAGAUGAAAAGGACUUUGAAAAGAGAGUUAAAAGUGUUUGAAAUCGCUGAACUGGAAGCGAAUGGAACUAGUGCUCUGGCUGAGAUUGCUGUAAGUGGCAGCCAAAUUUGGGUGUCUGAACGCAAGUCUCUCACCUGGCUGUAAGCUGUUGCUUGCAAUGUGUCUCAGCUUGAAUGUCAAUGUCUAUGCGCGCAUGAGGAUGGCCUCUGGCUCAUGCUAUCUUGCUGCGGCGAGAUUCUUGUGCCUCUGGGGAUUCAAGUGUGUGUAGAUUGUUGAUCUAUUAGUUCCAUUCGACCCGUCUUGAAACACGGACCAAGGAG